RNAcentral lists this ribosomal RNA (483 nucleotides) under uncultured bacterium. Its description in RNAcentral is "partial 16S ribosomal RNA". It matches the Rfam family "Bacterial small subunit ribosomal RNA", at positions 28 to 507 of the family's 1533-position model. The record is from RNAcentral.
GACGAACGCUGGCGGCGUGCUUAACACAUGCAAGUCGAACGCUGAAGCUCAGCUUUUGUUGGGUGGAUGAGUGGCGAACGGGUGAGUAACACGUGAGUAACCUGCCUCCUUCUUUGGGAUAACGCCCGGAAACGGGUGCUAAUACUGGAAAUUCACUGGUCUUCGCAUGGGGGUUGGUGGAAAGGGUUUUUCUGGUGGGGGAUGGGCUCGCGGCCUAUCAGCUUGUUGGUGGGGUGAUGGCCUACCAAGGCUUUGACGGGUAGCCGGCCUGAGAGGGUGACCGGUCACAUUGGGACUGAGAUACGGCCCAGACUCCUACGGGAGGCAGCAGUGGGGAAUAUUGCACAAUGGGCGCAAGCCUGAUGCAGCGACGCCGCGUGAGGGAUGGAGGCCUUCGGGUUGUGAACCUCUUUCGCUCAUGGUCAAGCCGCAACAAUGGUUGUGGUGAGGGUAGUGGGUAAAGAAGCGCCGGCUAACUACGUG